CCCGCGCCGUAUUAGCUAGUUGGUGGGGUAACGGCCUACCAAGGCGACGAUACGUAGCCGACCUGAGAGGGUGAUCGGCCACACUGGAACUGAGACACGGUCCAGACUCCUACGGGAGGCAGCAGUAGGGAAUCUUCCGCAAUGGGCGAAAGCCUGACGGAGCAACGCCGCGUGAGUGAUGAAGGUCUUCGGAUCGUAAAGCUCUGUUGUUAGGGAAGAACAAAUGUGUAAGUAACUGUGCACAUCUUGACGGUACCUAACCAGAAAGCCACGGCUAACUACGUGCCAGCAGCCGCGGUAAUACGUAGGUGGCAAGCGUUAUCCGGAAUUAUUGGGCGUAAAGCGCGCGUAGGCGGUUUUUUAAGUCUGAUGUGAAAGCCCACGGCUCAACCGUGGAGGGUCAUUGGAAACUGGAAAACUUGAGUGCAGAAGAGGAAAGUGGAAUUCCAUGUGUAGCGGUGAAAUGCGCAGAGAUAUGGAGGAACACCAGUGGCGAAGGCGGCUUUCUGGUCUGCAACUGACGCUGAUGUGCGAAAGCGUGGGGAUCAAACAGGAUUAGAUACCCUGGUAGUCCACGCCGUAAACGAUGAGUGCUAAGUGUUAGGGGGUUUCCGCCCCUUAGUGCUGCAGCUAACGCAUUAAGCACUCCGCCUGGGGAGUACGGUCGCAAGACUGAAACUCAAAGGAAUUGACGGGGACCCGCACAAGCGGUGGAGCAUGUGGUUUAAUUCGAAGCAACGCGAAGAACCUUACCAAAUCUUGACAUCCUUUGACCGCUCUAGAGAUAGAGUUUUCCUCUUCGGAGGACAAAGUGACAGGUGGUGCAUGGUUGUCGUCAGCUCGUGUCGUGAGAUGUUGGGUUAAGUCCCGCAACGAGCGCAACCCUUGAACUUAGUUGCCAUCAUUCAGUUGGGCACUCUAAGUUGACUGCCGGUGACAAACCGGAGGAAGGUGGGGAUGACGUCAAAUCAUCAUGCCCCUUAUGAUUUGGGCUACACACGUGCUACAAUGGACAAUACAAAGGGCAGCGAAACCGCGAGGUCAAGCAAAUCCCAUAAAGUUGUUCUCAGUUCGGAUUGUAGUCUGCAACUCGACUACAUGAAGCUGGAAUCGCUAGUAAUCGUAGAUCAGCAUGCUACGGUGAAUACGUUCCCGGGUCUUGUACACACCGCCCGUCACACCACGAGAGUUUGUAACACCCGAAGCCGGUGGAGUAACCAUUUUGGAGCUAGCCGUCGAAGGUGGGACAAAUGAUUGGGGUGAAGUCGUAACAAGGUAGCCGUAUCGGAAGGUGCGGCUGG
RNAcentral lists this ribosomal RNA (1301 nucleotides) under Staphylococcus pseudintermedius. RNAcentral's name for it is "bacterial SSU rRNA". It matches the Rfam family "Bacterial small subunit ribosomal RNA", at positions 230 to 1521 of the family's 1533-position model. Lineage: Bacteria; Bacillati; Bacillota; Bacilli; Caryophanales; Staphylococcaceae. The record is from RNAcentral.